UCUGGGGUGACCCCUGUCCCAGCCUCUGGAGUGGAACCCUGGGAAUGGGGCAGCAUCACUGGCCCUGCUCAGUCCAGCCUCAGCCACCAUGGGACCCGAGGCAUCUACGUCACCCCCACCACUUCCUGGCAGCCACAGGUGGAGUGAGCCUGCCUGCCCUGGGAGACUCCUGGAGAGGGGCUCUGCUUAAGGUUAGGUCUAGAAGCAGCAGGUUCCCUGGACACUCCAAGAUGCUCUUCCUGGCCCUGCUCCUCUGCCUCUUGGUGAUGGGCUUUCAGGGUGAGUGCAUUUCCCACUGCAGACCAUGCAGGGGCUUUAGC
Molecule: long non-coding RNA, 320 nt
Filed under: Homo sapiens (human)
Lineage: Eukaryota; Metazoa; Chordata; Mammalia; Primates; Hominidae
Description: HSALNT0274984
Source: RNAcentral